UGUAAAAAAUAUUAUAUUUGUACUGUUAAAAACUAGCGCGAUUAAGAAAAUAAUCAAACAAUGACAAAUAGCGUGUCAUAUGUACCUCAUGUUUAUGUACAUAAUUAAUUUUUAACAGUAAAAAUAAAUAAUUUUUUUAAUA
Gossypium raimondii (Peruvian cotton) is the source of this 142-nucleotide non-coding RNA. The record is from Rfam. Lineage: Eukaryota; Viridiplantae; Streptophyta; Magnoliopsida; Malvales; Malvaceae.